Molecule: small nuclear RNA, 107 nt
Organism: Otolemur garnettii (small-eared galago)
Lineage: Eukaryota; Metazoa; Chordata; Mammalia; Primates; Galagidae
Source: Ensembl
GUGCUUGCUUCGGCAGCACAUAUACUAAAAUCGGAAUGAUACAGAGAAUAUUAGCAUGGCCCCUGCACAAGGAUGACACCCAAAUUCAUGAAGCAUUCCAUAUUUUU